This 730-nucleotide ribosomal RNA is filed under the name uncultured Staphylococcus sp. Its description in RNAcentral is "bacterial SSU rRNA". It matches the Rfam family "Bacterial small subunit ribosomal RNA", at positions 61 to 773 of the family's 1533-position model. The record is from RNAcentral. Lineage: Bacteria; Bacillati; Bacillota; Bacilli; Caryophanales; Staphylococcaceae.
GUCGAGCGAACGGACGAGAAGCUUGCUUCUCUGAUGUUAGCGGCGGACGGGUGAGUAACACGUGGAUAACCUACCUAUAAGACUGGGAUAACUUCGGGAAACCGGAGCUAAUACCGGAUAAUAUUUUGAACCGCAUGGUUCAAAAGUGAAAGACGGUCUUGCUGUCACUUAUAGAUGGAUCCGCGCCGCAUUAGCUAGUUGGUAAGGUAACGGCUUACCAAGGCAACGAUGCAUAGCCGACCUGAGAGGGUGAUCGGCCACACUGGAACUGAGACACGGUCCAGACUCCUACGGGAGGCAGCAGUAGGGAAUCUUCCGCAAUGGGCGAAAGCCUGACGGAGCAACGCCGCGUGAGUGAUGAAGGUCUUCGGAUCGUAAAACUCUGUUAUUAGGGAAGAACAUAUGUGUAAGUAACUGUGCACAUCUUGACGGUACUUAAUCAGAAAGCCACGGCUAACUACGUGCCAGCAGCCGCGGUAAUACGUAGGUGGCAAGCGUUAUCCGGAAUUAUUGGGCGUAAAGCGCGCGUAGGCGGUUUUUUAAGUCUGAUGUGAAAGCCCACGGCUCAACCGUGGAGGGUCAUUGGAAACUGGAAAACUUGAGUGCAGAAGAGGAAAGUGGAAUUCCAUGUGUAGCGGUGAAAUGCGCAGAGAUAUGGAGGAACACCAGUGGCGAAGGCGACUUUCUGGUCUGUAACUGACGCUGAUGUGCGAAAGCGUGGGGAUCAAAC